Carya illinoinensis is the source of this 1148-nucleotide long non-coding RNA. RefSeq lists it as uncharacterized. The record is from RefSeq and is a predicted model, not a curated record. The transcript is spliced from 2 exons. NCBI's taxonomy places the organism in Eukaryota, Viridiplantae, Streptophyta, Magnoliopsida, Fagales, Juglandaceae.
AGUUCUUUAUUGAAAUUUCUAACUGUUGUUUUGCUCGUAGCCCUGAAUCAUUGUAUGUGUUUUUAUAGUUUUUCGGCAAUAAUUCCAUCUAUUGCUUGUGAUCUUGGUUUCAUGAUUGAGAGGUAGAUCUAUGCUUUACCUAUAGGGAGGCAGUCUUCACAUUAGUCUCGUAUGAAGCAUAUCUUUCAUUAUUUUUGCUUUUAAGUGAUGUCACUGGCUUUAUCUUUUAUCAUAUUUUAACAAUUUUAGCAAUCUAGUGUUCUCUUUUUGUUAGUUGAAUUGAUUUUCAUAUCUUUCUUUUGUGUCGUAAGUUGUAGAUUUUUAUGUUCUUAUGCAGAGGAUGCUUAUGUUACCUACUUUCCAAUAUCAUUUGAUGGUUACAAAAUCUAAGUCCCCUUAAUUGAGUAAAGGAAAGGAAAGUAGCAUACAUGCAUAUACAGGAGAAUGGACCAACUGUGCAUAUUUAUGCUGGUAGAAUCUAUUUUUUUCAAUUGGGUGAUUUAAUAUCUAAUGUUUCUCAUAUCCAACUCUGUAUGAAUAAUUGAAAUCUAGUUAACAUACUAGCAUUUAAUGUUUCUCAUAUCAAAUUCUAAAUCAAUAAUUGAAAUAUGAUAAAACAUGGCAAAGAACAUACAUGCAAGUUACAGCAAACAGAGUUACAACUUAUAUUUAGCCGUUCGAUUAACAGACUUUGGAACAUUUUUAAGAAACUUGAUAUUGGUUUCUUUGCACAAGAUGGAUAUGUUGAUCAAGAAUAAUGACUAUAAAGUAUGCAUGUUGCUUUUGUCUUUACUACAAGUGCUUCUUCUUCAAUAACUCUAUGCAGAGAUUAAGUAUGUCUUGAUUUAGUAAUUACUUCACGACUGUUUGCUGAAAUUUUGAGGUCAUGUUUUGCCAUGCAAAGUGAGUUCAUAUUUGUGUUGAGAAGAUGCCAACACAAACAUAAACACAGGUUGAGGUAGGAGCAAUACACCAUGGGAACAUCACAAGAUUACUGGUAGCUAUAGACUUUUUGAAGAUCAUUCUGGUAUCAUGAUCUUUAAUCUAUGUAAUUUUAUUUUAUUUUAUUUUUUUUAAUGGAUCAGAGAUGUUUUGAUAACAUUGAGUUGGUGAAAUUGGAAGCAUAGUUUGUACAUCUAUUUUUGAAA